GCGGCACCCGGGACGCGCGGCUCCCCCUGGCUGCGCGGCGGCGGGGGGUGAGGGGGGCGGAGGGAUGGAGGGCGGGAGCCGCGCUGGUGAGGAGGAGCCGCCGCCGCCGCCUCAUCCUGCGGCACCGGCCGGCGGCGUGAGGAGCCCGGCGAGCGCAGGUGGCAGUGUAGAAGCCAGGAACAAAAAUUGGCAGAAAUUAUAUUCUGUGUACGAGAAAAUGAAGAGUGUACUCAUGACUAAGCACAGGAACCUGGAAAACCACAGGAUUCCUGGGAAGCUGUGGAGGAUGGGACAAACUCAGAGCUGGAGCUUGUGGAUUUUUUAGAACUCAUGAGUGGGAAAUUAUCCUGGUAAGAAGUGUUGAAGUGCAGCUAUCACUGUGUUUGUUUAUAUAUUUAUAGUCUUGCAUUUGGCUGUUCUUAUUCUAGUCUAAGAAGGCAUUUUGUCUAAACCUUUAAAUUGCUUUUGAGAUAAUGCAGUUAUACCACAAAUACCCACAGAUGACCAAGUUGCCUUGUGUUGACUACCCUGCACUAACUGGGCUUGGGCCCAGUUUUAGUUAUCCCCCCCAUUGCAAAGCAAGUUGCAGACAGAAUGAUUUAUUUCACUGUUAGAAAGGGCUAAGAGCAUACGUCCCAUUAGGUAUAACCAACCUGCUGUCACCUAUGAACUAUUAAAUUAUAGUAGCAUGUCAUCUUAAGAUUCUGGAACCCAAGUCAAAAUAAUUUUUUUCUAUCCACUGUUUAAAAAAACAUCCAGGAAACUAGACUUCUGGGCACCCAAGCCCUGAAGCUCUAAGUUCUCCAUGGAGAAACUGUAUCUCUGUUGGUGAACAGUAAAACCCUGAUCUCUGAGUCAGGUUUGUGGGUACCAUCAUCAUGCUUUCAAAAUGCAGUGUGCCUUGGAUAGAGUUCCCUGAAGAGUUAUCACACUUCUUAACUUCAAUUUAAAAAGAAGGAAAAAAGUUAAUAAAUCUAGAUCUUCAGUGCA
RNAcentral lists this long non-coding RNA (990 nucleotides) under Calidris pygmaea (Spoon-billed sandpiper). RNAcentral's name for it is "lncRNA (ENSCPGG00000010130.1)". The record is from RNAcentral. Lineage: Eukaryota; Metazoa; Chordata; Aves; Charadriiformes; Scolopacidae.